Linepithema humile (Argentine ant) is the source of this 1097-nucleotide non-coding RNA. Lineage: Eukaryota; Metazoa; Arthropoda; Insecta; Hymenoptera; Formicidae. The record is from RefSeq and is a predicted model, not a curated record.
UUAGUAACUAAUUACGAUUAGUUAAGGUUUUUUCUAAAAUUUUGAUAAAAAGUUUAUGCAUUUCAGAUCAGCAGUAUUUAAAUAUUUAUUUUUUUCAAUAUUACGAUGUGUUUAUAUUUCGCAGAAUUACAUUUAGAAAUGUCUAGUAUUGCUAUCUGUAUUCAACACUGCGAACUACAUGUCCAUUACAGAUUACAGUUCUCCGCUGGUAAACAAUUUGGUGAAUGUCCGUGCUGCGUGGUGAACGUGCAGUGGAUAUUUUAAUUCUUCAUCAGAUGUCGCUACUUACACCAUAUCUUACAAAUUCAUACAGUACAAGUUUUUCAUUCAGUAUUAGUGUUGUUCUUAUAGUUUUCAUGUCAGAACAUCUUCGUACUUUGUCAACAGGAGAGAAAGGAAACAUCAAAAUUCUCCCGAGAAAUAUAUAAUCUGUUCGACAACGAUUCCUUCAUUUGUGUCAUAUUGCUUUUCGGUCAAGAUUGCAAACUGGAUUAUCGAACAUUUGAGGAAUAAAUGCGUCAUAAAUAAAAAGAAAGAAAAGUUCCAGUACCUGUGCAGUUUUGCAAGGGGUGGCAGAGCACAAACGAGGGAUAAGAGAGAAAGAGAGAGGGAGAGAGUGGAAACGAGAGGGAGAUAGGUGGAUGACGGCGACGUACAAAGACGCUUCAGGGGUGACGAGAGCGUGCGAAGGGGGUGCACGGGUGGCGAGGGGAUCUGCCUGCCUGAUGGAGCUUGAAACUGAAUUAACCAUCCCCGCCCGGGGCCCGUGAUCUCGUCGCAACCUCAUCUCGGCGACCAUUAUAUUUGUCUUUGUAUGCUAAACAUUUUGUGGAAUUAUACGAGACAGGUUUCGAAGAGUCGUCUCUCCCUCUCUAUCGCCCUCUCUCGCUCUUCCUUUUUCCGCCGGCCCUCCCUUCAUCCCAUCUCCGCAGCGUGAUCGAGAAACGAUAACGAUUACGGGGCAUUCCUCCCUCGCGCAAGAUUACUUCCCAGGCAAAAAGCGAUCAGCGGAAUAUCGUCGGUUUUACAUGCGUUUUUUUAUGCGCACAGGAAGAAUUUGCGAAUAACGAGCGGAACUGUACUCGAAAAUUUUUGUA